UACGAAGGGGGCUAGCGUUGCUCGGAAUCACUGGGCGUAAAGGGUGCGUAGGCGGGUCUUUAAGUCAGGGGUGAAAUCCUGGAGCUCAACUCCAGAACUGCCUUUGAUACUGAGGAUCUUGAGUUCGGGAGAGGUGAGUGGAACUGCGAGUGUAGAGGUGAAAUUCGUAGAUAUUCGAAAGAACACCAGUGGCGAAGGCGGCUCACUGGCCCGAUACUGACGCUGAGGCACGAAAGCGUGGGAGCAAACAGGG
This 253-nucleotide ribosomal RNA is filed under the name uncultured bacterium. RNAcentral describes it as "partial 16S ribosomal RNA". It matches the Rfam family "Bacterial small subunit ribosomal RNA", at positions 524 to 777 of the family's 1533-position model. The record is from RNAcentral.